Molecule: ribosomal RNA, 253 nt
Filed under: uncultured bacterium
Lineage: Bacteria
Description: partial 16S ribosomal RNA
Rfam family: Bacterial small subunit ribosomal RNA
Source: RNAcentral
UACGAAGGGGGCUAGCGUUGCUCGGAAUCACUGGGCGUAAAGGGUGCGUAGGCGGGUUUUUAAGUCAGGGGUGAAAUCCUGGAGCUCAACUCCAGAACUGCCUUUGAUACUGAAGAUCUUGAGUAUGGGAGAGGUGAGUGGAACUGCGAGUGUAGAGGUGAAAUUCGUAGAUAUUCGCAAGAACACCAGUGGCGAAGGCGGCUCACUGGCCCAUUACUGACGCUGAGGCACGAAAGCGUGGGGAGCAAACAGG